Molecule: long non-coding RNA, 4492 nt
Organism: Diceros bicornis minor
Lineage: Eukaryota; Metazoa; Chordata; Mammalia; Perissodactyla; Rhinocerotidae
Exons: 3
Source: RefSeq, a predicted model, not a curated record
UGCUGAGAGAUUGCAAAGACAAAGAAAUCUCACCCUGUCAUAUAAACCAAGCAGAUACAACCCUUCGCUUUUUACGUACAUGUUCUCAAGAUAAAAAAUAACUAGUCUUCAAAUAAGAAGGCAUGACAGCACCAUUUGUCACACAUAAUUCAUCCUAGCUUCACUAGGUAAUUGGGGUGACCAUCGGUGUUAGCUAGUUGGCUUUAUCCAGAGGAAGAACAAACUUCUCUUAUCUUUAUGACAAGAGGGGAAUUUUGCAACUUGGAGGAAGACAUCUGCUGAUUUAGGCACCUACCCUCCCCAUAGAAACAGUGAGAUGUAUGCUAUCUCCCUUGAUUUACAUUUCAAAGAGAUGGCUCCCAGGUCCUUGAGGAUGCAUUCCUGGGUUACAAAAUUGGCAAGAGACUUAUUUAGCUUUGAAAAAGAUACAUAUACAUUUCAAAGAGGCAGAGAAGUAAUUUACAAGUUUUCUAAAGGAAAUGCUCUAAGAAAAGGGAGGGGAGAAAGUCUCUUCCCUUUCUUUCAACAGAGAGAAUUGCCUUUUUUGUCCCCUCUCUUAUUUUUGGUUUGUAUUUGCCCUUACAGAAACAACAUGUGUUCAUUCAUUCAAGCAAUAUUUUUUGAACAUCUGCUAUGUGCUCACAAGAACGGUAGCGUGUACUCUGUCUCAGGAACUGUGCUGGGAACCUCACAUAAAUUAUAUCCUGGCUAAGGGGUGCAGAUGACAUAAGACUUCAUAGCAGAAGUGCAGCAACUUGGGCAGAAACGUAUAGCAGCACAGUGGGGCUCCAGUAGGAGAAGUCUGGUCCAAGAGGGGUGGAGCCACAUGAAGGUCCUGUGGACAUGUGCCUGUGUAGGUGCAAAGUGCCAUGAAGUGGCGUGGGGACCAAGCUAGGUGCCCAAGGAUCGUCGCUUCCAAAAUUCCUUGGAGAAGACUUGUCCCAAAGACUUGUGCUCAGGAAAGUUCCUGGAUCCAACCACUGCCCCCCAUCGACCCCCCGCCGAGAUCCCAGUUCCCAGCCAGACCACUGAAUUGUUUCAGCCUCACUAGCAGGACUGGCUUUCCAACUUGCUCGAAAAAAUAGCUUGUGACUUGGACGGUUUUCAACUUAAGAAGAAAACAUCUUAGUUUCCAACAAGAGUGAGCUACACAACUCUAAGCUUUUACCUUAAAACUGUUUGAAACAUUAACUUGAAAUAGUUGGGAAGCAACGCUGCCUCUCAGGAAGAGAAACGGGCUCCAACGUUUCCAAAACCCAGAGGCGCUGGGAGCAAAGCCUGGCCCCGCCUGUCCCAGCCCCUCGCGUCCCCGCCUGCUCGUGCUCCCGCCCAAGCCUGCCUCUUUCUACGUCCGGUAUCUAUGGUUACUGACCCGCCCAGGCUCCGUCUCCAGGCCCCGCCUCUUCUCUCCGCGUGAGUCCAGUUUCCUGCAGACCUGGAAGUGGAUAGUGUGGAGGGAAGGUCACUCUGUGGAGACUGAGUUUCAUCUUCUAUCUGCAUUCUGCAGUACCCCUCACCACGCCUGGGGUCUAGGGGUGGCUACAGAUCUUAAAAUCCUCGCACCCGCCUUCGUGCCUGGGGUCUGGAGGUGGCUACAGAUCUUACAAUCCGCGCACCGCCUCUCCACGCCAAGUAAAUUUAGAUGUCACUGUGAGAAGCUGAGGGCGCUUCCCUUUUGGUUUAAAAUGUGCGAGAUGGGUCCACACCCUUCAUGCCCCUCAAGCCUUACCUUUCUCCUCCCCUGGGGGGUGUCACCAACUAGUGCCUGGAGAAAUUCAAGGGUGGGUUUGGAAGCAAUUAACUUUUUCCAGGUUGUUUCUUUUCCUUUUGUAUGUUAAGGAGGUGUAAGGAGCAGCCAGCCUGAAACUGACCAAGUGAGAAACUGAAGGGAGUUGUAACCACCAGCCAUCCUGAAACUGACCAAGGCUUGCCACAAGAGCUAUGCCCAUGACCUUUGCCUUAUUUUUAAUGCAAAGAUCUCUCCAGGAGGAGCCUAGACUUCAUUAUGUGGAAGCAUGUCCUCCCACUGAGCCUGUGCAAGCGAAUACCUGACUCUCCCUUUUGAAUAUUCAUUCCCCAACUGAAAUAAAAGUUCUUGCUUCACUUUGUUCAGAGAUGCCAUGACUUUGGAAAUGAUUCCUUAUGGCCUCUUAUUUGCUGCAAAUACACUUUACUUUGUGAAACAACUUCUAGUGGUGUAGAGUCUCAUUUAACUCACCAGGAGGCGGGCUCACUUGGUUCAGUAACAGAGGCAGCUCCAGCCACCAUGCUCCAGGAGAGGCUGCGUGUUGUCCCAGGUCCUGGGAUUCUGGACCCCACCUGUCUGCUGAGACCCAGCCACUUCCACUCACCUUGCAUCAUCCUCCGCCAGGUCUGUCCACUCCCCAGGCACCCCCCUCAUUAGUCACAGCUUCUCCUCACCUUGCACUAGGGGAGGUGACUAAAAAGGACCUGUCUUGAGACACCCAGUGUUUUACCGUUCCAAAUUCCAUUCCACUGGAUAAUAUGCUCUCGAGGGAAGCAGGCAUCUUAUCCUUAGCUCAGGUUCCCUGGAACACAGAUGCUGAGACUGAGAUUUGCAUGCGUGGGUUUAAUUGGGAAACUCCUGAUCACAUCUGAGGAGGAAUGAAGGAAGUGGAAUUAGGCAGACAGAAAUGUUAUCCUGCAAUGUAGUUAGAACAAAGGCCUGAGCUGAGCCCACAAGGAGCUCUGGCUGCAGGAGGAUGGGUGCCUUGGUGCUGAGGGGGUGGAUCUAGGAGGUGCCCGUUUUGUGCCAAUCUCAGCCUAUCGAUAACCAAUAUAAUUGUUGAAUAUUACAGUAACAGGUUAAACUAGGUUUAGACUAAGAUAAAAGAUUACUGACAUCUUUACCAAGUACACAUUGGAACAAUCUAAAAUUAUUUAUUCGAUACUAAAGAAUGUUUCCAAUAUAUAUGACAUAGAGCAGAGAGCCUGUGGGUUGUGGUUGGACCUGCCCUUGUGGUUUUUAUUAUGAUUGCAAGACACCCUUCAGCAAUGACCAUCAGGAAACCGAAAAAAUAAAAGUUUAUCACUUACUAGACCUGGAAAUUACACAGCACACCUGGGGCCACACAGGGAGGUCACAGGAAGAGAGAGAGAAGGAGUGCACUUGCCUGGGGUUCUGCUUUUAUUGGAGUCUAGGGUGGAGUUUAGGGUUUCAUGGGCUCACUCUUUAUUGGUGAAUUUAAAACAAUGGGAAUUUAAAACAUUGGAAGAGAAAAAAAAAAAAGUAGCCCAAAUGGUCAGUUAUUGAAAUCAACCAAGAUCUCUAACACAAAGGUGCCUCGGUGCAGUGAGACAGCUUGGUUCUUUAUCUAGUCCUGUGGCUGGCAAUAUAUUUAUUUGAGAUAGCCCUCUUUGAAAUGGAUGCCUCGGCAAUCAAAGUUUAAGUCAGGCACUUGCAUUACAAAAAAGAGAAAACUCAAUUAUCAGGGCUUACACUACAGUGCCCCAGACCAUCCACUCCACACAAUGACUUCCCUGGGAGCCUGCUAGGGUCAUUGUCCAACCCGGAGAGGAUUUGUAGGGAGUCUCAGAGAACAUUUUGGGGGAUAACUUUGGAAUUUGGGGUUAUUCUGGAUUGCAAGUCAAGAAGGUUUCACAUGCAUUUUGGAAGACCCAAACGAGCAUUUGGAGUGUUUUUGGAAGAUAGGAUCUCAGUGGGGCAUGUGCUUCCUUGUAGACAUCUGUUGAGAGUGAGGAGAGUGUUCUGAGUGAGAGACUCUUAGUUGUGCCCUCUUCUGCUCCUGAUCAGCUCCCCCCUCACUCAUGAUAAAGACUAUUCCAAGGACAAUCAGGAUCCUUGCACACAUCAGUCCCCCAAAAUUGCAGCCACGCCAGAGGGUGUACUACUAUCCCUCUGUGUGUUGCUGACCUGUAAAUUGUGCACCAGUUGCCAGCCCCAUGCACAAUCUUAGUAUGGUAUGGCAUCCUUCCCCUAGUGCAUCAUCAAUUUUCACAUCUUAGGAAUUAUUUUGGUCAACAUACACAGAUGGUGGGAUUGUCUGUCUUAAACACACACACACACACACACCCCAACGCUUUUUAUUCACUCUUUUCUUCUAUUGUUAAAGCAAAAAAUUCUCUAUUAACUACAUUUCCCCCUCUAGUAAGUACCCCUUUCCUGUGCUCCCUUUCAGAGCACAGUACAGUAAAAGCUUGUUUAUACGCUCUUCAAAUCUUACCACCAGUUCUCACUUGAAACCCAUCUAGUCAAACUUCCACAUCCACAUUCCACUGAUACUUUCUUGUUCAGAGCCACCAAUGACCUCCCCAUUUCUAAAUCCAGUAUUUAAUUUCCUGUCCUCAUCUUACUUUUCCUGUCAGCAGCAUGUGACACAGGUGAUCCUCCCUCUUCCUUGAAACACUUUUAUUCUUGGCUUUGAGGACACCCCACUAACCUUUAUAAACCUGUUUUGUUUCUUUCUCACUUCCCUGAUCACCUCUCAGUUUCCUCUGCUGGUGUCUGCUG